This 465-nucleotide ribosomal RNA is filed under the name Vreelandella stevensii. RNAcentral describes it as "partial 16S ribosomal RNA". It matches the Rfam family "Bacterial small subunit ribosomal RNA", at positions 338 to 795 of the family's 1533-position model. The record is from RNAcentral. Lineage: Bacteria; Pseudomonadati; Pseudomonadota; Gammaproteobacteria; Oceanospirillales; Halomonadaceae.
CCUACGGGUGGCAGCAGUGGGGAAUAUUGGACAAUGGGGGGAACCCUGAUCCAGCCAUGCCGCGUGUGUGAAGAAGGCCCUCGGGUUGUAAAGCACUUUCAGUGAGGAAGAACGCCUGGUGGUUAAUACCCAUCAGGAAAGACAUCACUCACAGAAGAAGCACCGGCUAACUCCGUGCCAGCAGCCGCGGUAAUACGGAGGGUGCGAGCGUUAAUCGGAAUUACUGGGCGUAAAGCGCGCGUAGGUGGCUUGAUAAGCCGGUUGUGAAAGCCCCGGGCUCAACCUGGGAACGGCAUCCGGAACUGUCAAGCUAGAGUGCAGGAGAGGAAGGUAGAAUUCCCGGUGUAGCGGUGAAAUGCGUAGAGAUCGGGAGGAAUACCAGUGACGAAGGCGGCCUUCUGGACUGACACUGACACUGAGGUGCGAAAGCGUGGGUAGCAAACAGGAUUAGAUACCCUAGUAGUC